Long non-coding RNA from Astatotilapia calliptera (eastern happy), 1266 nucleotides. NCBI's taxonomy places the organism in Eukaryota, Metazoa, Chordata, Actinopteri, Cichliformes, Cichlidae. The record is from Ensembl.
GUAGGAUUCAGCAGGAGCAGAUUGAGAUGCUCCAGAAACAGCUCCUAGCAGCUCAAAAUCAGCUUGAAGAGCAGGCUGUUAAACAUAGGCAGGAGCAGGAGACACUCAACCUGGAAAUCAGUGACCUGAAAUCCCAGCUCUGCCCCAACAAGGCCCUUCAUGAUUUGAAGAGAGAAUCUCCUGAGCGAGAGCUGAAAGAGGCCAAAGAUUGCUCACUUAAAAUCCCACAGCAGCACAAAGAACAAAAUUCCACUGCUGCAAAUGAAAUGCAUAAAUGUGAGCCUCUGAAAGAAAACGAGACUGGAGAACAGGAGAAGAUGGAAAAAGAGGACUCACUGCCAUCCACUGCAAUGUCUCUGCAGGAGCCUCAGAAAGAAAAAGACACCACAGAACAACAGAAGAUCGAAAAAGAAGAGUCAGCUGCAUUUUCUGUACAGGGAUCUUUGCAAAUCUACGAGACAAACAGAAAAUGCUCAAUGUCAAGGUGGCUGAACUCGAGAAUGAAGUUAAGAGCCUGCCAGAGAUUCCGCCAAGUAAGAAGAAGAAGAACAAGAAGAAGCGGAACUGUGUGCGUCCCCAAUUUCACAUAAUUGGUGUCAACAUCAAGUCCUAAAAAUCAUAUUUAUAUACAACUAAAUUGUCAGUGAACAUUUGAACCCCUCUUGGUCGAGACAGAAGGCCACCCCUUCCUGAGCCCGGUUCUGUCAGAGGUUUCUUCCCAUUAAGAGGGAGUUUUUCCUCUCCACUGUCGCAAAGUGCUUGCUCAUAGGGGAUUUGGGGGCUUUUUUUUUUUUUUUUUUUUUUUUUUUUUUUACACCAACCACUGGUAAGUUCACUGACAUCAAAUUUAAGACUCAGCAAAUAUGGAAAUGGAUCAUCCGUCAUCAAGUGAGGAAUCAUCCAUUUAAAACAUGUUUGCUGAGUCAUAUUUAGUUGUAUAUAAAUAUGAUUUCUGUCACACUCAGGCCAAUCACAGACUAAUUUGGACAAUUGGUAAAAAAUAAAUAAAUUGAAAAAAUUGAAAAAAAGUAGUUGUGUCAUUGUUUCGUGUAGAUUUCAAAUAACAUGCCAUUUUAUGUCAACAUAUUUCUGUUACAUUUGUAGUGCUCGUGGUUUUAUAUUCUUAUGAUCCUGUUUGUUUGAUGAGUAUAUCCUUCUUCCUUACUUCACAUAUUUACUGCUGCUUGGCUAGCUUUAGUCAUGCUAGCAUCAGCACGGGUAGAAACAGAUACACAUCAGAGACAUCACAUGUAGCUUGUGUUUAUG